CGGGACAGCAAUAAUCGAUCCAUUAAAUGCUAUGCAAUUAUAUAGUCGAAUUCUAAUGUCGACAUCAAGCAUACUAGUUGUCUGACUAGUCUCAAUAUUUUCUCCCUCCUUAAAUAGCUGCUGACCCUAUGCUUCUGCAACUUUGCCAAUUUGUAGCCGAGAGAGUCUGAUACUGCUGCCAAAACUCGAAGACGGAAAAAGAGAGAGAUCGAUGGGAAACAUUUUUGCAAUAUGCCAGCCCAUCUUGCAUGGAGUAAUGAAGCUAGCAGGGGUGAGACCCCAAACCCUAGAGAUCGAACCAGGAACUGUAAUGAACUUCUGGGUUCCUUCUGAAACCAACUCGAAAAAGUCGAAGCCCGCCGUGGUCUUUCUUCACGGAUUUGCAGUGGACGGCAUCAUAACAUGGCAAUUUCAAGUCCUAUCUCUCGCCAGAGACUACGCCAUUUACGUACCCGAUCUUAUCUUCUUCGGCGGAUCCAUCACGGAUAAACCCGACCGGUCGCCGGAGUUCCAAGCCGAGUGUGUGGCGAAGGGUUUGAGGAAGCUUGGGGUGAAGAGGUGCACCCUUGUGGGGUUGAGCUACGGAGGCAUGGUGGGGUUUAAGAUGGCGGAGCUGUACCCUGAUAUGGUUGAGGCCGUUGUCUUGACUUGCUCCGUUAUGGCUUUGACCAAGUCCGUUAGCGACGCCGGACUUGGGAGGAUUGGGUUCUCACGGUGGACGGGUUACUUGCUUCCCGACUCUGUCAAAGGAGUCUGAGACAUUUUUGAAAUUGCUGCCUACGAGUUUCCUCACCUUCCUGAUUGGAUCUACAGACAAUACUUGGAAGUAAUGUUUGACAACCGCAAGGAGAGGGAAGAACUUCUUGAGGCUUUGGUCAUCCGUGACGAAGAUUUCGCCGUGCCUAACUUUCCACAGAGGGUGUAUCUUUUGUGGGGAGCGAAUGACAAGAUCUUCGACAUAGACACUGCAAGCGACCUCAACAGGCAAUUAGGCAACAACGCAUCAGUGGAUCUUAUAGAAAAGGCAGGUCACCUUGUUCAAAUGGAGCGACCAUUCAUGUAUAACAGGCAGCUCAGGAAAUUUUUGGCGUCUUUAUCAGAAGAUAUGCACCAAGACUAG
Fragaria vesca subsp. vesca is the source of this 1120-nucleotide RNA transcript. It is a transcript of the gene named monoacylglycerol lipase ABHD6-like, with no coding region annotated. Lineage: Eukaryota; Viridiplantae; Streptophyta; Magnoliopsida; Rosales; Rosaceae. The transcript has 4 exons. The record is from RefSeq and is a predicted model, not a curated record.